AACUGCCGGUCAUAACGGAGAAGGUGGGAUGACGUCAAGUCAGCAUGGCCUUUAUAUCCUGGGCUACACACACGCUACAAUGGGAAGGGACAAUAGGUUGCGAAGCCGCGAGGCGGAGCCAAUCCAGCAAAACUUCCCUCAGUUCAGAUUGCAGGCUGCAACUCGCCUGCAUGAAGUUGGAGUUGCUAGUAAACGCAGGUCAGCCAUACUGCGUUGAAUACGUUCCCGGGGCUU
Molecule: ribosomal RNA, 234 nt
Filed under: uncultured Anaerolineaceae bacterium
Lineage: Bacteria; Bacillati; Chloroflexota; Anaerolineae; Anaerolineales; Anaerolineaceae
Description: partial 16S ribosomal RNA
Rfam family: Bacterial small subunit ribosomal RNA
Source: RNAcentral